CGCACACACACACACAUGCACGCGCUCACACACAUAACCAUCUUCACAACCCUUCCAAGAGAAAACCUAGAGUGUGUGUGUCCGUUUGGGUCUGGGAGGGCGAAAGACAGUUGUUUUGGGGACCCCAAUCUUGCCUAGCGUCUCAGCUGGGGGGAGGCGGGGUCCCUGCAAGGCUGCCCCGGGAACUCCGGCCCCGCGUCCCGCAGGAGGGCGGAGGGAGAGCACGCACACUUUCGCCAGCUUCCAAACGGCCCAAUUAAUAACUAAUUUGCCGAGAUCCCCCACUCCAAGUAGACCUGACGGCCAAGAAAGGACUGGCUUUCCCUCUCAGUCUCCUAGGCUGGAGGACUCCUUCCUGCAGCUGGGCAGAGCUCCCCUCCGUCCCCACCACCGCGCCAGGCGCCCCCACCCCGUGCCCAGGGGAAUCAGGUGUCCGCCCGGGCAUCCAGCCCCCGCGGGACCCAGACACACAGUUCAGGGAUAGACAAUGGAAAACUUGGAGCCGGUGCCCUGAGCCCCCGGGGAAAACAGCUGGUGCCACCCCCCGGGACAAUGAGCGGGGAGACGGAGUGGGACAGCCGACACCCCCCAGAGAAGCCGCCGGCCCAGUGACCCAGCAGAGCCCGGAGCAGCGCCCCGGGGUGGGCAAUGCUAUUUACCUGGGAUCCUAUCCAGCAGCUUCAAAGGUGAUGGCGGCCAUUACCCAACUAAUAAGCACAACAUCCCCUGGCUCCCCGUCCUCAAGGCAGGAAGAUGCUGUGAUGCGCAUCAGGAGAUGGAGGGAAAAGAAAUGACUUGCCCACCUGAGUGACAGAAACAGUUGGGAAAAGAGAUUAAGGAAGAGAUGAUGCUGUUGGCUCCAGGCAGUGACUCAAGGAGGCAUUCAUGGUGAAAGAAGAAAGACCUUUCUCAGGUGAUGCUUCAUCUUCCCCCAUGUGCCCUGACACCCCUUGAUGUGUCUAUAAAUACAAACAGCAGGAGGCCCGAAUUACUAGACAAAGCAGGCAGCCACAACCUGUUCUUCUUCCCAAUGGCCACUGGGGCAGUUCCUUUCCCCCAAAACUUGUUGUUUAUAUUUAUUUUACCCUAAAGCUAUUUUAACAUAAACCUAUUGAAAUAGGAGAGGGCUUCCCAUCUGAUACCUCCACAGACAUGUCUUUUCUAGAACAAGUUUAAGACUAAUCGUAAAACGAAAAUACGCUGGGUGCGGUAGUUCAUGCCUGUAAUCCCAGCACUUUGGGAGGCCAAGGCGGGUGGAUCACAAGUUUAGGAGUUUGAGACCAGCCUGACCAACAUAGUGAAACCCCAUCUCUACUAAAAAUACAAAAAUUAGCCGGGCAUGGUGGCGUGCGUCUGUAGUCCCAGCUACUCAGGAGGUUGAGUCAGGAGAAUCACUUGAACCCAGGAGGCAGAGGUUGUGGUGAGCCAAGAUCCUGCCAUUGCACUCCAACCUGGGCAACAGAGCGAGUCUCUGCCUCCACGCUCCGCCCGUCAAAAAAAGGAAAACAGAUUUCCACAAAGUUGUUCUUUAUAAUCUAAUUUUUUUUUUCUGACAGGCAGCUUAAUACUUCAAAGGGCAACCCGUUCCUUUAUUGGAUACAACUAAUUGUUUGAGAUUUUCUUCAGCCUGAGUUGAAAUUUUUCUUCCUUCAUCAAAGUGAAGGAAGGACCUUGUAUACAAGGAAGGUCUUUGUAUAAAGGACCUACCUAUCGUGAAGGUACCAUCUCUCUUUAAACUUUAUCUCCCAAAGGAGAAAUAUCUAUAGCCACACAAUUCAUGUACAUUUUAGUCAUUGGGUCUCUAUGACUAUUAUCAUUAUAGAAAAUAUUCUAAUAUAAUAAUAAUUUGAAAACUGGAUUUUAAGAAUUCAAAUUUAGAAAUAGCAGUUUUCUCAAGAGACUCAUUCAUGAAUAUGGAAAGAUCCUUUAUCAAGUAAUCCCCCCCGGGGGUCCUUUAAAUAGCAAUCUUCUUCAUUUUGAUUCAAUUUGUAGAAAUCCCAUUUAGAUGCAUUACUGGACCACCACAUUGUGUAAAGGAAGGUAAAUUGUGUGUUGGGUAACCAUUUGGCUCUCUCUUUCUUCCCAACUUGUGACUAAUUGAUUUUGCCAUUAAUUGGGAUUUCCCCUAGAGACCAUUUGAUCUGUUUGCAGGAUGAGCAGGGAAUUAGGGCAGCCCCUCCAGAUGGGAUGGCUUUCAAUAAGCAGACAGUGCAAAGGGGCAUCAGAGUGAUACAGAAACGAUUAAUUGAAUAACUCACUUGAAAAUCAUGUGCUGCUUUAAAGACCCACAAGCUAAGUAAAUACCUAGGUAAAGACUUUACUGAUCAAGUAAGGCUCCCUGUUGUCGCCUGGUUGAGAACAACGCCAGGAAAAAAAAAAUUUAAGAGCAUCCCAUGAGUGGAUACUAUAAAAUAUAGGAAGCGCAAUUCUAGGCAAUAACAUACUAUAAUCCUGAUAACACUCACAUUCACACUCUACAUAAUUUAUGAAGCAUUCUCACAGAUACUGUUGCACAUCUCACACUGACAUAGGGGGUGGGUUGGCUGUGAAAGGGCUAAACUGGACUUACAUUCCAGGAGCAGAAACAGGCUUGGAGCUGUGGACCUCUCAAAGGCACAGAACUAGUAAGUGGCAGAAAUAGUGCUAGAACCCAAAACUUCUGAUUCUAAAUUUCUUAACAACACACAGCACCAUCUCCCCAGUGCACCACAGCUAAAACCACCUUAUUGGACUCUUGUUUUACUCUGGAGAAGAAUGCAUACUGACUGAGGACUCUGCUCCAUGCCUGCUAAAAUAUCUGACAUUUGAGGACACAGAUUGCUAGAUUGUGUCAAGCAAGAUUGCUACCUGCCCAAAGCAUCUAAGUCCUGGGAUACAUGCCUGCAUUAUUUUCUGAUAUUUCUAAAGCAGUGGAUUCCUUUCUAUGGGCCGUGAAGAGAGGGUCCUCCAUGGAAUGUGCUGAAGGGAUUCAUGCAUCCUUGAACCAUCAAGUCUUGCCUAUGGAGGGACUGAAUGUACAAAUGGGCAAUGGGCAAUGGCCAGACCAUAUAUAAAAGUAGAACUUGAACCCCAAACUUGCAGCAGCCUACCCAGGAAACCAACCUCCUUAUCCACAAUAACCAGCCCAGAACGCCAGCUUACUCUAAGUCAGACUUGCAGGAAGCCAGAAUUGCUAUCCCUAGUAACAAACCGGGACACUAAACAAUAACUUCUGUAACAAUUGACCCAAAAUGGCAGGAUUUGAUUAAUAGCCGACAGCCUUCCUGAUUUUUGUCCCUGUUUCCAAUUCAGGUUCAACCAGAGAAAGCAAGAGAUGCACCCUAAUCAAUCACAUAGGAUGCCCCACUUCUGGGUAACUGGCUCCAGCUUCCCCAGGACAACAGCACCCAAUCAAGGCACACUGAAACCUUCCCUUUUUCCCAUUUGAUAGGUUUUCCCACUUCUCUUCCUGCUUUUGAGUCUCUUUAAGAAUGAGGAUUUGGUGUUUGACUCCCUUGCUAUAGCGAGCUUAGAAUAAAUAGCUUUUGCUUUUCUCAUUUGGUUUGUCUUUGUUUAUGUCCACAGUAUAAAUCUGAGAAAUUGUAUGUCUCAUUCAUACAUAUACCCUUCUCUCCAAAUAUUUGUAGCUACUGUUGUGAUGUACAAAACACAAAUUCAGUUAGAAUGCACAAUGCCUAGCCUGUGGAACCACUAACAUUUUACUUUGUGGUAUGAUGCAUUAACCCCCUGCAUUAAUAAAGAAUAAAGUGCAUUUAUAAGUACUAGUUUUUAAAAAUACUAAGUGUAAAAGCACAUUGCGAAGCAGCACUUAUAUUAUUAUCCCAAAUUGUAGACACAGUAACAAAUAUCAUGGUGGCAAAGAAAACGAGUUCUGGAGCUCAGUUGCUGAGAUUUGAACCCUGUUGAACAACUUGCUUCGUUGGACCAUGUGCAAGUUUAUUUGCUGUUCUGUGAGCCUCAGUUUUCUCUUUUGUCAAAUGGAAUCUAAUAAUCCUAUGUCAGGAACGUGAUGUGAGGAUUAAAUUAAAAAUAUAGGCAAGAUAUAAAGCACGUGGCAAGUACUUUGCUCAUUGCAAUAUUACCUACUAACGCUACUGUGAUCAUACAAUAUGCAGAAAAUGAUCCAGAAAAGACACAAGAGCAGUUGUUGGUGACAGUUAUCUCAAUGGGUGGCAUAAUGAGGGACUCCAACAUUCUACAUGAUACAUUUCUGUAUUAUUUGUAGUAUUUUUACAAGUAUGUGUUAGUUUUAUACAGAUAAAUACAAUUUUAAAUGGUUAAAAAUGUUCUCGUAUUUAAAAAGCACAUUGGGAGCCUUUGUGUUAAAUUAUGCAGUGCAGACACAGAGAACCAAAAGGCUAUGUGUGGUGGGAAUAGUGAGGUAGGAUGAGAACUUUCUAGAAAAGGAGAGAAAGGAGAGAUCCUAUGGAGCCGAGCUGGGAACCAGGCUGGAGAGGAGAGGGAAUAGCUGUUCAGGAGCAGCUGUGUAUGUAAACUAGACACAAGACUCUAUUUUAUCUAGAGUUUUCCUUUUCUUGCCUUUACAAGCCCUCUUCCACUACCUCUAGCAGUCAGCUUUAUCCCCUGAGAGGAUUUAGGGAAAUGGAAGGAGAGGUACUGACUUUGUCUACCUCAUAAGAAGGGGACAAAGGGAACUAUUAUCCUGACCUUUCUAUCUCUCCAGGAAAUGGGUGUCUACCUCCUCUUUGCAUUGUUUACUAAGAAGUGCUAUUCAAGUGAUUCUUCCUAGAAUAGUGAAAGAUGUUUCUAGAAGGCUUGCUUUCUCCCUGACACAGAGAAGCAGCCAGGAAUUCAAUUCUUAAAUAUCAAGCUUUUAAAGAAAAUUCCAUUUCACCAGGCAAUCUACCAUGCACGUGAGAACAGCAGCUGCUUCAUAUACCGGUUGUAAGAUGUGAUCCAGACGGUGUAGUGAAGCUGUUCACACAGGGGCAGGCACAAGGUAGGCACACCUUGGAUAUUCGUGUCUUAGUCUGUCUUCUGCUGCUGUAACAGAAUACCUGUGAUGAAUUAAUUUAUAAACAAUAGAAGUUUAUUUGGCUCACAGUUCCAGAGGCUGGAAAGCGUAAGAGCACGGUGCCUGCGUCUGGGGAGGGCCUUCGUGUUGUGUCAUCUCAUGGCAGAAGGUGGAAGGCAAGAAAGGGUGACAGUGAGCAAGUAAGAGGAGACCAGACUCACUUUUAGAACAAAGCUACUCUUGAGAUAAAGAACCCACUCCUGUGAUAACAAUGUUAAUUCAUUCUUGAGGUCAGAGCCCUCUGACCUAACCACCUUUUAUUAGGUCCCCACCUCCCAAAAACUGUUGCAUGGGACUAAAUUUCCAAUACAUGAAUUUGGGGGGACACAUGCAAACAAUAGCAAUUUACAAAUAAUGGCCAAAACGUGUUGAGGAUUUAACUGGUGAACCCAAGAGCUGAAAUGGGGCUCCAGCCAGCCUUUGCCUUCAAGAGGCAUAUUAGUCUAUUCUUAUGCUACUAAUAAAGACAUACUCAAGACUGAGUAAUUUAUAAAGAAAAAGAGAUUUAAUGGACUGGGAAGCUGGUCUUGUUUUCUGUUCAAAUCUUCAACUCAUUGGAUGAGGCCCACCCAUAUCAUGAAGAGCAAUCUCCUUUACUCAGAGUUCACCAACUUAAUGUUAAUCUCACCCAGAAACAUCCUCUAAGUUGACACAUCAAGUUAAUCAUCACAAUCCUGAAUGGAUUCCAGGGUCCUGCUUUGGUUUCCCGUGUUGUUGUACCUGGAAAAUUACCUAAGGGUCUGACCCACUUAUGAACCCUGCCUUCUAAGUUUCAUUGCUUAAACAAAGGCAAGUAGGAUAAAGAGAGGAGUAGAAGUGGCUGCAAAAUGAACGUUAGUGCACACUGACUAUCUAAUGGUUUAGUCCAUUACACUGCGUCCAAUAAGUGAGCUAUUAGGCAGCCGAUACAAUCAUAAUUAUGAAGGCUGUGUGGAAACAGGAUUGUUUUAAGUUUAAUAUGAGAUGAAAGAAAGCAGAAAAAAAUUGCAAAUAUAGUUAUGACUGUGUGAUGUGUAUUAUGUAGUCAGAUUAGACAGGAAUAAAACAAAAUGGAAAUUGUCACAUUGAGAUGACAAAAUUACUUAUUUAUUUAACAACUACAUGUUAGGUGUUGUCUGCUACAUGCCAAGCACAGUUCUAAGCCUUCAACUUUCUGUCUCUACAGAUCUGCCUACUCCUGACAUUGCAUAGAAAUAGAAUAAUAGAGGCCGGGAGCAGUGGCUCCCAGCACUUUGGGAGGCCAAGCGAAGACAUGUGAAGAAACAACUGUGAGAUUUUUUUCUCUUUAAAAAUUUGCCUAAUACCCACUAGAAUAGUCAUAGUUUUAAAAAUGGACAAUAAUAAGUGCUAAUGCGGAUGUAUGUAGAGAAAUUAGAACUCUCAGACAUUACUGGUAGGCAUAAAAAUGGUACAGUCUCUUUGGAAAAUAAGUAUGCAAUGUCCAGGGCAGGCAAAUAAAUCCCUAGAGACAGAAAGUGGAUUUGCAGUUGUUAAGAGCUGGGGGAGUGGGGAGGAGAGACCAGGGAGUGCCUGCUAAAUGGCAUGGGGUUCUUCUUGGAGGUGAUGAAAAUAUUCUGGAAUUAGUGGUGCUAAUUGUACAACUCUGUGGCUAAUUAUACACUGUGAAAGGGUGAAUUUUAUGGUAGUGAAUCAUAUAGCAAUAUAGCUGUUAUUAACAAUGGCCUAAUGGUGUUGUUAUGUUGCUUUUACAAAUAA
Non-coding RNA from Callithrix jacchus (white-tufted-ear marmoset), 6751 nucleotides. Lineage: Eukaryota; Metazoa; Chordata; Mammalia; Primates; Cebidae. The record is from RefSeq and is a predicted model, not a curated record.